GGAUGAACGCUAGCGACAGGCUAACACAUGCAAGUCAGGGGUAACAGGGUAGCAAUACCGCUGACGACCGGCGCACGGGUGAGUAACGCGUAUGCAACCUGCCUAUAACUGGGGAAUAGCUCCCUGAAAGGGGGAAUUAACACCGCAUAACACUAUUGAUUCGCAUGGAUUAGUAGUUAAAUGUAGCGAUACAGGUUAUAGAUGGGCAUGCGUGACAUUAGCUAGUUGGUGAGGUAACGGCUCACCAAGGCUACGAUGUCUAGGGGUUCUGAGAGGAAGGUCCCCCCACACUGGUACUGAGACACGGACCAGACUCCUACGGGAGGCAGCAGUGAGGAAUAUUGGUCAAUGGGCGCAAGCCUGAACCAGCCAUGUCGCGUGCAGGAAGAACCUGCCCUAUGGGUUGUAAACUGCUUUUAUAGUAGAAGAAACACAUCUACGUGUAGAUGUCUGCCAGUAUACUAUGAAUAAGCAUCGGCUAACUCCGUGCCAGCCGCGGC
Molecule: ribosomal RNA, 500 nt
Filed under: uncultured bacterium
Lineage: Bacteria
Description: bacterial SSU rRNA
Rfam family: Bacterial small subunit ribosomal RNA
Source: RNAcentral